CCUACGGGAGGCAGCAGUGAGGAAUAGUGGUCAAUGGACGCAAGUCGGAACCAGCCAGGCCGCGUGCAGGAAGACGGCUCUAUGAGUUGUAAACUGCUUUUGUACGAGGGGAAACGCAGAUACGCGGAUCUGUCUGAAAGGAUCGUACGAAUAAGGAUCGGCUAACUCCGUGCCAGCAGCCGCGGUAAUACGGAGGAUUCAAGCGUUAUCCGGAUUUAUGGGGUUUAACGGGUGCGUAGGCGGUCGGAUAAGUUAGAGGUGAAAUCCCGAGGCUCAACGUCGGAAUUGCCUCUGAUACGGUUCGGCUAGAGCGUCGUUGCGGUAGGCGGACUGUUUGGUGUCGCGGU
RNAcentral lists this ribosomal RNA (347 nucleotides) under uncultured bacterium. RNAcentral describes it as "partial 16S ribosomal RNA". It matches the Rfam family "Bacterial small subunit ribosomal RNA", at positions 338 to 682 of the family's 1533-position model. The record is from RNAcentral.